RNAcentral lists this transfer RNA (65 nucleotides) under Dipodomys ordii (Ord's kangaroo rat). It matches the Rfam family "tRNA". From Rfam's summary of the family: Transfer RNA (tRNA) molecules are approximately 80 nucleotides in length. Their secondary structure includes four short double-helical elements and three loops (D, anti-codon, and T loops). Further hydrogen bonds mediate the characteristic L-shaped molecular structure. tRNAs have two regions of fundamental functional importance: the anti-codon, which is responsible for specific mRNA codon recognition, and the 3' end, to which the tRNAs corresponding amino acid is attached (by aminoacyl-tRNA synthetases). tRNAs cope with the degeneracy of the genetic code in two manners: having more than one tRNA (with a specific anti-codon) for a particular amino acid; and 'wobble' base-pairing, i.e. permitting non-standard base-pairing at the 3rd anti-codon position. The record is from Rfam by way of RNAcentral. Lineage: Eukaryota; Metazoa; Chordata; Mammalia; Rodentia; Heteromyidae.
GGUGGCUCAGUGGUAGAGUGCUUGCCUAACAGGCAUGAGGGCCUGGGUUCCAUUCCUCAGCACCA